GACGAACGCUGGCGGCGUGCCUAAUACAUGCAAGUAGAACGCAGUUGCGAACGGGUGAGUAACGCGUAGGUAACUGCCUAAUAGCGGGGGAUAACUCUUGGAAACGAUAGCUAAUCCCGCAUACUAUGAGAUGGGCCUGCGUUUUAUUAGGUAGUUGGUGAGGUAAAGGGGCACCAAGGCGUCGAUACAUUGCCGACCUGAGAGGGUGAUCGGCCAAACUGGGACUGAGACAAGGGCCAAGAUCCUACGGGAGGCAGCAGUAGGGAAUCUUCGGCAAUGGGGGGAAGUCUGAACGAGCAAAGGCGCGUGAGUGAAGAAGGUUUUUGGAUGGUAAAGGUCUGUUGUUAGAGAAGCGGUACCUAAACAGAAAGGGACGGCUAACUACGUGCCAGCAGCCGCGGUAAUUC
Molecule: ribosomal RNA, 407 nt
Filed under: uncultured bacterium
Lineage: Bacteria
Description: partial 16S ribosomal RNA
Rfam family: Bacterial small subunit ribosomal RNA
Source: RNAcentral